ACUCAAAGGAAUAGACGGGGGCCCGCACAAGCGGAGGAGCAUGUGGUUUAAUUCGAUGAUACGCGAGGAACCUUACCCGGGCUUGAAUUGCAGUGGAAUGACCUGGAAACAGGUCAGUCUUCGGACCACUGUGAAGGUGCUGCAUGGUUGUCGUCAGCUCGUGCCGUGAGGUGUUAGGUUAAGUCCUGCAACGAGCGCAACCCUUACACUUAGUUGCCAGCAUGUAAUGAUGGGGACUCUAAGUGAACUGCCUACGCAAGUAGAGAGGAAGGUGGGGAUGACGUCAAAUCAGCACGGCCCUUAUGUUCGGGGCUACACACGUGCUAAAAUGGUCGGUACAGAGGGUCGCUACCCCGCGAGGGGAUGCCAAUCUUCAAAGCCGAUCUCAGUUCGGAUCGGAGUCUGUAACUCGACUCCGUGAAGUUGGAUUCGCUAGUAAUCGCGCAUCAGCCAUGGCGCGGUGAAUACGUUCCCGGGCCUUGCACACACCGCCCGU
Molecule: ribosomal RNA, 496 nt
Filed under: uncultured bacterium
Lineage: Bacteria
Description: bacterial SSU rRNA
Rfam family: Bacterial small subunit ribosomal RNA
Source: RNAcentral